Molecule: ribosomal RNA, 460 nt
Filed under: uncultured bacterium
Lineage: Bacteria
Description: partial 16S ribosomal RNA
Rfam family: Bacterial small subunit ribosomal RNA
Source: RNAcentral
CCUACGGGGGGCAGCAGUGAGGAAUAUUGGUCAAUGGGCGUAAGCCUGAACCAGCCAAGUCGCGUGAGGGAUGAAGGUUCUAUGGAUUGUAAACCUCUUUUAUAAGGGAAUAAAGUGCGGGACGUGUUCCGUUUUGUAUGUACCUUAUGAAUAAGGAUCGGCUAACUCCGUGCCAGCAGCCGCGGUAAUACGGAGGAUCCGAGCGUUAUCCGGAUUUAUUGGGUUUAAAGGGUGCGUAGGCGGCCUGUUAAGUCAGCGGUGAAAGUUUGUGGCUCAACCAUAGAAUUGCCGUUGAAACUGGGUGACUUGAGUAUGUUUGAGGCAGGCGGAAUGCGUGGUGUAGCGGUGAAAUGCAUAGAUAUCACGCAGAACCCCGAUUGCGAAGGCAGCCUGCCAAGCCAUGACUGACGCUGAUGCACGAAAGCGUGGGGAUCAAACAGGAUUAGAUACCCUGGUAGUC